UACGCUUUCAUUUUCUUGUUUCCCACAGAAACAAAAGAUGUCCGUGUUGCUGGCUGCCGGCAUGGCUGCCGUAUUUGGGGUGGUUGUUGGCAGGAGAUUUUACAAAAGGAAAAGAUUUUAACCCUCAUUCACCCGCACGACCGAAGACUGCGCAUGAAUUCGGAAUGAAUUUCAGAUUCUACAUCUAUGAGCCACGACAGACAAAUUCCUCGCUUUCUUUUCUUUGUUUUUAACAACGUUUGGUCCAAAAAACAGCGAAAGUCUUUGUAAUCGAAAAAAGCAAAAGCCGAACAAAAUCAAAUACUUUUUUUUACAGAAUCAGGAUUAUUUUACAAUAAACAAUAUGUAACUAACAAA
This is a long non-coding RNA of Spea bombifrons (plains spadefoot toad), 357 nucleotides long. RefSeq lists it as uncharacterized. Lineage: Eukaryota; Metazoa; Chordata; Amphibia; Anura; Pelobatidae. The record is from RefSeq and is a predicted model, not a curated record. The transcript has 2 exons.